Podarcis muralis (Common wall lizard) is the source of this 1602-nucleotide non-coding RNA. Lineage: Eukaryota; Metazoa; Chordata; Lepidosauria; Squamata; Lacertidae. The record is from RefSeq and is a predicted model, not a curated record.
GAGGCAAAGGAAACAAAAUGCUUGCUCGAAUCCUUGGUAGAAUGUUGAAGGAUCAACAUGCGCAAGGCAUCCAGUGGCCACGUGAACGUUAUCCCCAGGGUGGUGUGCGGUUAGCUGGUUUGUUUUUGAAUGCAGCUGUACGGAAGUGCGGGUCUUGGGGGCGGGACUGGCUGCAGUGGGGAAUUGUGCUCCUCUCCAGUGGUGUAGAAUGGGGGGCACCGGGGCAGUUGCCCCAGGUGCAAAAUUGUUAAGGGUGCCAAAUUUCAACACCCAGUGCUGCCUCGGCAGAGCUUCCAUUCCUGGGCUCCAGACAACGGAUCAACUCUUCUCUUCUUGGCUCUGCAGCUGAGAUCUCCCAGGUCAAAGUCUCUCCCUCCAGCUCCAAAGCUUCUCACCCUGCCAAGAUCAGUUUUGCCUUUCUGCAGAAUGGGUGCAAGAAUCACACAAGUUCCAGCCACGGGUGGAUUUAAGGGGAAGAGUGUCUGCAACAGUGCCUGCUCUCAUAGAAGAAACCUAGAUUUCCACAGAGGGAGAAACAAGGCCAAGACAUUUUUGCUGCCUGAGACAAAAACAUAGCUUUUCUGCCACUGCCACUGCCUCCACCACCACGACCUGAAGCGACUGGAGGCAGCCUGGGGACACCCUGGUGCACUGAAGGCAGUGGGGGAGAUAAAAGGAGGUCAGAGAGGAGUGGGAAGUGGCAGCAGCAGCAGCAGCAGCCCUGUUCUUACCAGGUGACAACCAUGGGUGACAAGCGAAAGAGGCAGGGAGCAGCAUGCUGUUCCGUGUUCAGACCCUGGCUUCUCCAGGGUCUCAGGAAGCAGGGGAUGUGAAAAGCUUUGGCCUUAGAUGCCGGAGAGCAACUUCCCGUCAGAGUAGACAAUGGGGAGAUGUAAACAGACAAGUAGUAUAAGGCUAUACACACACACGGCAAAGAAGGCAAGUAAAGAGGCCUAAUACUUGAGUGUUUAUUAUGAAAGUGUUUUCAAAUCAAAAUUCACAAUAUUGAUUGGAUCCAAAUAUUCCAGGAAGAAUUUUAAUUUUUCAUAUUUAAAAGGGGGGGGGGGGGGAGAGAAAAGAAACCCAGAAGCAAAAUCCAAGGCUAAAACACAGUGCUGUAUUUCUGACAGUGAAAUAUACCAGUAAGUUAUAGUUCAAAGAGUUCCUCAAACGGUUGGAUUGUCUUGAAAACACAGGUGGAAAAUUGCACCAUUUUGUCCUGACCUGACCUGCUGAAAGUAACCACCAUGCAGAGCACACAAAUGUGGCUACUGUUUUCAGUAUUUAGAAAUUUGCAGGGAGAUAGAAAAACACCCUCUUGUGCAUCAAACCAGCGUGUACCGUUCUUCUUUGAGAUGAUUCUCAUUACCAGUGGUCCUAGUCAACCUACACAUCACUAAAGCCCUAGGCUAAAAUUAAGGCCGAAAUAAAUACACGUACCCCCUCCUGCCCUCCAUUAAAGUAAGUGGAGGCUAUUUCCUAAGUGUAUAACUUUAUACAAGCAGAUCAGUUGCUUCAGUUUCUCUGUCAUUACAACUGGAACUUCCUUGUAAGGAAAAAUGUGCUAAGUAACUUUUCAAUAAAUAAACAAAUAAAUACCAA